RNAcentral lists this ribosomal RNA (253 nucleotides) under uncultured bacterium. RNAcentral's name for it is "partial 16S ribosomal RNA". It matches the Rfam family "Bacterial small subunit ribosomal RNA", at positions 524 to 776 of the family's 1533-position model. The record is from RNAcentral.
GACAGAGGGUGCAAACGUUGCUCGGAAUUACUGGGCGUAAAGCGCGUGUCGGCGGGCUGAUAAGUCGGACGUGAAAUCCCUGGGCUCAACCCAGGAACUGCAUCCGAAACUGUCAGUCUGGAGUGGUGGAGAGGGAAGCAGAAUUCCUGGUGUAGAGGUGAAAUUCGUAGAUAUCAGGAGGAACACCGGUGGCGAAGGCGGCUUCCUGGACACUAACUGACGCUGAGACGCGAAAGCUAGGGGAGCAAACGGG